GAUGAACGCUGGCGGCGUGCCUAAUACAUGCGAGUCGAGCGAACGGACGAGAAGCUUGCUUCUCUGAUGUUAGCGGCGGACGGGUGAGUAACACGUGGAUAACCUACCUAUAAGACUGGGAUAACUUCGGGAAACCGGAGCUAGUACCGGAUAAUAUUUUGAACCGCGUGGUUCAAAAGUGAAAGACGGUCUUGCUGUCACUUAUAGAUGGAUCCGCGCUGCAUUAGCUAGUUGGUAAGGUAACGGCUUACCAAGGCAACGAUGCAUAGCCGACCUGAGAGGGUGAUCGGCCACACUGGAACUGAGACACGGUCCAGACUCCUACGGGAGGCAGCAGUAGGGAAUCUUCCGCAAUGGGCGAAAGCCUGACGGAGCAACGCCGCGUGAGUGAUGAAGGUCUUCGGAUCGUAAAACUCUGUUAUUAGGGAAGAACAUAUGUGUAAGUAACUGUGCACAUCUUGACGGUACCUAAUCAGAAAGCCACGGCUAACUACGUG
RNAcentral lists this ribosomal RNA (497 nucleotides) under uncultured bacterium. RNAcentral's name for it is "partial 16S ribosomal RNA". It matches the Rfam family "Bacterial small subunit ribosomal RNA", at positions 28 to 507 of the family's 1533-position model. The record is from RNAcentral.